This 230-nucleotide ribosomal RNA is filed under the name Saprospiraceae bacterium. RNAcentral's name for it is "partial 16S ribosomal RNA". It matches the Rfam family "Bacterial small subunit ribosomal RNA", at positions 1298 to 1533 of the family's 1533-position model. Lineage: Bacteria; Pseudomonadati; Bacteroidota; Saprospiria; Saprospirales; Saprospiraceae. The record is from RNAcentral.
UUGGAGUCUGCAACCCGACUCCAUGAAGGUGGAAUCGCUAGUAAUCGCGCAUCAGCCAUGGCGCGGUGAAUACGUUCCCGGACCUUGUACACACCGCCCGUCAAGCCAUGGGAGCUUGGGGCGCCUGAAGACGGUGACUUUACGGGGAGCUGUCUAAGGUGAAACAGGUGACUGGGGCUAAGUCGUAACAAGGUAGCCGUACCGGAAGGUGCGGCUGGAAUACCUCCUUU